This 374-nucleotide ribosomal RNA is filed under the name uncultured Alphaproteobacteria bacterium. Its description in RNAcentral is "bacterial SSU rRNA". It matches the Rfam family "Bacterial small subunit ribosomal RNA", at positions 521 to 896 of the family's 1533-position model. Lineage: Bacteria; Pseudomonadati; Pseudomonadota; Alphaproteobacteria. The record is from RNAcentral.
UAAUACGGAGGGGGCUAGCGUUGUUCGGAAUUACUGGGCGUAAAGCGCGCGUAGGCGGAUCAAAAAGUUAGAUGUGAAAUCCCUAGGCUCAACUUAGGAACUGCAUUUAAAACUAGUGAUCUAGAAUUUGGUAGAGGAUAAUAGAAUUUCCAGUGUAGAGGUGAAAUUCGUAGAUAUUGGAAAGAAUACCAGUGGCGAAGGCGAAUAUCUGGACCAAUUUUGACGCUGAGGUGCGAAAGCGUGGGUAGCAAACAGGAUUAGAUACCCUGGUAGUCCACGCAGUAAACGAUGAGUGCUAGUAGCUGGGUAUUUUUUAUUCAGUUACGUAGCUAACGCAUUAAGCACUCCGCCUGGGAAGUACGGUCGCAAGAUUA